Molecule: ribosomal RNA, 114 nt
Filed under: Sinocyclocheilus grahami
Lineage: Eukaryota; Metazoa; Chordata; Actinopteri; Cypriniformes; Cyprinidae
Source: RNAcentral
UACUGUAGCUGAAAGUUUCUAUCUGAUAGGGAGAGCUGACCCAAAAAUGAAGCUAAUCAGGGUGGUCAGUACCUGGAUGGGAGACCCCCUUGGAAAACUAGGUUGCUGCCGGAA